Molecule: long non-coding RNA, 908 nt
Filed under: Triticum aestivum (bread wheat)
Lineage: Eukaryota; Viridiplantae; Streptophyta; Magnoliopsida; Poales; Poaceae
Description: long non-coding RNA (TAES_LNC014514)
Source: RNAcentral
GGAAGCCUCUUUUUUUGCGAAUAGGAAUCCUCUCCCUGAUCCCUGCUCUGGAACCUUUUAAUAUCCACUGCACCAGGACAUCCUUCCAAUCUCGCAUUCUAUGCCCAACGAAAACUGAAAUCCAAUGCAGUGGAGAAGGCGGUACAUCAAAGAAAGUUUGUAUCUGAUUGGACAGCCUCUAUUGUUGAUGAAGUUCUGGAGAAGAGGAACUAUUGCAGGCUGGUCGCAGGUAUGGAAGGAGCAAGAAGAGAGUAGGUUUUUUGCUUUUGAGGAUUUUUAUGUUGUGUUGUACUACUGAGAUCUGGGACGUACAGCCUAGAGAUUUGUUUUGGGGAAUAUUGAUAAUGUGUUUUCUUUAGUUUCAGACAUCUGAAGAUACACAUUACUUGGAUGGCUAAAUUAGUAGGUGCUACACAAGCAACUAGGUGAUUCAAUUCAGCGAAGGCGUGGUCGUACCUCUGCACAGCGAACUCAAGCACCACUUCUAAUAUUGUUGGAAAGUGGAUAAGUCGUUUUGGAGCAUUACACGAUUUGUUCAGUCUACUUCGCUAUGUUCCUUACAUGCAAAAGGUAUGGGUUUGUUUACUUGAUAUGUUCUUUCAAUUUUUCCUCACCCAGUGAUCCACAUCUUAAAAGCACAAACUACUCUGUUCAGAUGGAAUAUCUUUGAUAGUGUUGUUGCAGACUUGAAGGUAUAUGCAUCAGGAGGUCAAGGUGGCAGUGGCACCGUAACAAUAUUUAUUUGAAACUACACGCGAGGUCAAAAAAUGAUUCUAAGUUAACCUCUUUCCUCGUAUAUUUUUGUCUGCUUGGUUUGUUUUAAUGUCGUUCUUUUGUUAAAUUGAUGUACUAAAUAAUUAAGAACAUAUUUGUAUUCAUUUUUAAAAUUUCAUGCAUCUGGUGUAUGG